UUAACUGGGAUUAGAUACCCCAYUAUGCUUAGCCAUAAACAUUGAUAUUAAUCUACCUGUUUUAUCCGCCCGGGUACUACGAGCACCAGCUUAAAACCCAAAGGACUUGACGGUGCUUUAGAUCCACCUAGAGGAGCCUGUUCUAGAACCGAUAAUCCCCGUUAAACCUCACCUCUCCUUGUUUCAUCAGCCUAUAUACCGCCGUCGUCAGUUUACUCUGUGAAGAAUUUGAAGUAAGCACAAUUGGCACAGCCCAAAACGCCAGGUCGAGGUGUAGCCAAUGGAGAGGAAAGAAAUGGGCUACAUUCAAUAAAAAUAAUGAACACGAAUGAUGUUUUGAAAUAAAUAUCUAAAGGAGGAUUUAGCAGUAAGUAGAGAAUAGAGUGCUCUACUGAAAUUGGCCCUGAAGCGCGUACACACCGCCCGUCACUCUCCCCAAGCUAAAAAAGCACAUUUCUAAAAAACAAAACCUGCAAAGGGGAGGCAAGUCGUAACAUGGUAAGUGUACCGGAAGGUGCGCUUGG
Molecule: ribosomal RNA, 524 nt
Filed under: Halichoeres leucoxanthus (whitebelly wrasse)
Lineage: Eukaryota; Metazoa; Chordata; Actinopteri; Labriformes; Labridae
Description: partial 12S ribosomal RNA
Rfam family: Bacterial small subunit ribosomal RNA
Source: RNAcentral